This 301-nucleotide ribosomal RNA is filed under the name uncultured bacterium. Its description in RNAcentral is "partial 16S ribosomal RNA". It matches the Rfam family "Bacterial small subunit ribosomal RNA", at positions 509 to 807 of the family's 1533-position model. The record is from RNAcentral.
CAGUCGCCGCGGUAAUACGGAGGGGGCUAGCGUUGUUCGGAAUUACUGGGCGUAAAGCGCACGUAGGCGGCUUGGUAAGUUAGAGGUGAAAGCCCGGAGCUCAACUCCGGAAUUGCCUUUAAGACUGCCGAGCUAGUAGGUGAGAGAGGUAAGUGGAAUUCCGAGUGUAGAGGUGAAAUUCGUAGAUAUUCGGAAGAACACCAGUGGCGAAGGCGGCUUACUGGCUCAUUCUAGACGCUGAGGUGCGAAAGCGUGGGGAGCAAACAGGAUUAGAGACCCGCGUAGUCCCUGUCUCUUAUAC